Long non-coding RNA from Mizuhopecten yessoensis (Yesso scallop), 1754 nucleotides. RefSeq lists it as uncharacterized. The record is from RefSeq and is a predicted model, not a curated record. Lineage: Eukaryota; Metazoa; Mollusca; Bivalvia; Pectinida; Pectinidae. The transcript has 3 exons.
CAAAAAACCCGGUUCAUGAAUGAAAUAUAUCACCGUUUUUUCAGGAUUGUUUGGCCUCUGGCUAUGUCAAUAGCUGGAACACUAAACGACGAAGAGAAGAAACAAAUCUUGGAGGGCUACAGCAACUAUGUGUACCAAGCAAAACAACAGAGGGAUUUUUACAGCCAGGAGUGUGCUGACAGUAAACAGCAGUUUUCAUCAUUGGAAAAACCUGGAAAAAAACAUGGACCUACAAUGUACAACAAGAAAGCAGUUUUUCUAUUUAGUGGAUGAGGCAGAAAACUGGGAUAGGCAAGGGAGCUAACUCAGUUGUCAGCAUGGUCCAUCACUGUUUCCAGCAUCAUGGUCAUGGAGAUAAAGUUGCCAUUAUGUCCAGACAUUGACUUACAGUUUGUCAUCGAUACAUUUUCUAAUUAAGUUGAUUAGUUAACGAACAAGAUUGGAAAGUUAACAGUAACAAACAUUUAAUUAAUAAAUAACGUUUCUCACAUAACACAACAGUCAAAAUUGAGUGGAAGUUGUAUGACUGCAUAUCGGAAUUAUUGUCUUGCAAUUUAUGUAAUGACUAGAAACAAUGAUUAAUCUGACCUCACAUUGUUGCCCUCAUUAUAGUUCUGCAUUCAAAUCAAAGAUCAUAAAAUUUAACCAAUCAAUCAGCUGGUUUUUUUUUUAUAAUUGUAUAAAUCAAUUUUAUCAAGCUCAAGAAUUCUUUAUUUGCUUUCAGGUCUUCAUGUUACGAUCUGGUAUUCCAUGAUGAUAGCUGGUCACACAAAGUUUGAUCCAGACUGGCAUUUAGGUGUGUGGAAGCUGCGCUGGAGAUCAAGUGAUGUGGAAACUCUGCAGGAAGUUGCUCUAUCAGUAAUGAAAUCGUCAUGAAAUGGACAUAACAUCCCCCAGUUGGUGCAAGAUGAUGACAAACCCAUUAAGUUCACAGACUGGAAGACGUAUUUAAAACAAUAUUUUAAACCUUUAAAGAACCUUAGGAGUUAUCAUCAUUUCAUAGUAGAUUCUACUAAACCAGGGACAGUUUUGUGCAAGGAACUUUGUGACUCGCCCACUGUAUCCAUUAAUCUACUGAAAUGCGAAGACAUCCUGCCCUCUGUGAAUGAUGUGCCAGUUGAAAAAGUGUCAGUAGGACUUGACCCAUCACGGCAGUGGUAUUUGUUUGAUAACAUUAGAGAAUUCUGUAAGUCAGAAUGCUCAAAGAACAGUACAUGUCCGAAACCAGUUGUACCAAAGUCAGAAGUCAAUAUUGAUGAAACUAAUGAGAUGCCAAAUCAUCCUAGUAAGCGAAAAGGUCUACUGUUGAGAUAAACCCUUACUAUGACUAUCAAACUACUGAAAUGUGCGUCAUUGUGCAAGUUUAAUCUAAAAAAAAAAAAGAAUUGUUUGGAUUACAGAUAUAACGUCACAAUAAUAGGGAUCCGCAUUGGGUACUGUGACGUUAGAAGAUAUGUAACUCAUUCUCAUAAUAAAUUACAUACUAAGUUUUAUGAAACAAUCUUCAGUUUCGUGAAUAUUAUAUGUAACAAUACAUGAUCAUGUGCAAUAGGAACAAGUUUGAAAUUCUGUUUAUUAUGUAUAUGAUCCAUUUUUGUUAUUUUGCAAUGGUUUUAUGUAACUGCAAUGUUGAUGUGACAUUGCAAUUUAACUUGCAUUAUUUGGGUAAUUUAUUACGUUUGAAAAUGUGCCACUAAUAUAUUGAGAGACCUAAGUGAAAAGAGAUGACUAUUCCAAAAAUAGUGUUGCUGUAU